UACGGAGGGGACUAGCGUUGUUCGGAAUUACUGGGCGUAAAGCGCACGUAGGCGGAUUUGUAAGUCAGGGGUGAAAUCCCGGGGCUCAACCUCGGAACUGCCUUUGAUACUGCAAAUCUCGAGUCCGGAAGAGGUGAGUGGAAUUCCUAGUUGUAGAGGUGAAAUUCGUAGAUAUUAGGAAGAAACACCAGUGGCGAAGGCGGCUCACUGGUCCGGUACUGACGCUGAGGUGCGAAAAGCGUGGGGAGCAAACAGGG
RNAcentral lists this ribosomal RNA (257 nucleotides) under uncultured bacterium. RNAcentral's name for it is "partial 16S ribosomal RNA". It matches the Rfam family "Bacterial small subunit ribosomal RNA", at positions 524 to 777 of the family's 1533-position model. The record is from RNAcentral.